This 253-nucleotide ribosomal RNA is filed under the name uncultured bacterium. Its description in RNAcentral is "partial 16S ribosomal RNA". It matches the Rfam family "Bacterial small subunit ribosomal RNA", at positions 524 to 776 of the family's 1533-position model. The record is from RNAcentral.
UACAGAGGGUGCGAGCGUUAAUAGGAAUUACUGGGCGUAAAGCGUGCGUAGGCGGUCGUGUAAGUCGGGUGUGAAAGCCCCGGGCUCAACCUGGGAAUUGCAUUCGAGACUGAACGGCUGGAGUGCGGAAGAGGGAAGCGGAAUUUCCGGUGUAGCGGUGAAAUGCGUAGAUAUCGGAAGGAACAUCAGUGGCGAAAGCUGCUUCCUGGUCCAGCACUGACGCUCAGGCACCAAAGCGUGGGGAGCAUACAAG